AGUGAACGCUGGCGGUAGGCCUAACACAUGCAAGUCGAACGGCAGCACCGUAAGAGCUUGCUCUGACGGUUGGCGAGUGGAGGACGGGUGCGGAAUACAUCGGAACCUACUUUUUCGUGGGGGAUAACGUAGGGAAACUUACGCUAAUACCGCAUACGACCUACGGGUGAAAGCAGGGGAUCUUCGCAGCUUGUGCGAUUCAAUGAGCCGAUGGCGGAUUAGCUAGUUGGCGGGGUAAAGGCCUACCAAGGCGACGAUCCGUAGCUGGUCUGAGAGGAUGAUCGGCCACACUGGGACUGAGACACGGCCCAGACUCCUACGGGAGGCAGCAGUAGGGAAUAUUGGACAUUGGACGCAAGCCUGAUCCAGCCAUGCCGCGUGAGUGAAGAAGGCUUUCGGGUUGUAAAGCCCUUUUGUUGGGAAAGAAAAGCAGCAGGUUAAUACCCCGCUGUUCUGACGGUACCCAAAGAAUAAGCACCGGCUAACUUCGUG
RNAcentral lists this ribosomal RNA (492 nucleotides) under uncultured bacterium. Its description in RNAcentral is "partial 16S ribosomal RNA". It matches the Rfam family "Bacterial small subunit ribosomal RNA", at positions 29 to 507 of the family's 1533-position model. The record is from RNAcentral.